RNAcentral lists this transfer RNA (74 nucleotides) under bacterium. Its description in RNAcentral is "tRNA-Cys". It matches the Rfam family "tRNA". Rfam says of the family: Transfer RNA (tRNA) molecules are approximately 80 nucleotides in length. Their secondary structure includes four short double-helical elements and three loops (D, anti-codon, and T loops). The record is from RNAcentral.
GGCGUAGUGGCGAAGUUGGUCAACGCGACAGUCUGCAAAACUGUUAUGCACCGGUUCGAGCCCGGUCUACGCCU